Molecule: ribosomal RNA, 625 nt
Filed under: Pleurotus pulmonarius
Lineage: Eukaryota; Fungi; Basidiomycota; Agaricomycetes; Agaricales; Pleurotaceae
Description: eukaryotic LSU rRNA
Rfam family: Eukaryotic large subunit ribosomal RNA
Source: RNAcentral
GCAUAUCAAUAAGCGGAGGAAAAGAAACUAACAAGGAUUCCCCUAGUAACUGCGAGUGAAGCGGGAAAAGCUCAAAUUUAAAAUCUGGUGGUCUUUGGCCAUCCGAGUUGUAAUCUAGAGAAGUGUUAUCCGCGCUGGACCGUGUACAAGUCCCCUGGAAUGGGGCGUCAUAGAGGGUGAGAAUCCCGUCUUUGACACGGACUACCAGGGCUUUGUGAUGCACUCUCAAAGAGUCGAGUUGUUYGGGAAUGCAGCUCAAAAUGGGUGGUAAAUUCCAUCUAAAGCUAAAUAUUGGCGAGAGACCGAUAGCGAACAAGUACCGUGAGGGAAAGAUGAAAAGAACUUUGGAAAGAGAGUUAAACAGUACGUGAAAUUGUUGAAAGGGAAACGCUUGAAGUCAGUCGCGUCUGCCAGGGAUCAACCUUACUUUUGUGAGGCGUACUUCCUGGUUGAUGGGUCAGCAUCAGUUUUGGUCGCUGGAUAAAGGUCAGAGAAAUGUGGCACCUUCGGGUGUGUUAUAGUCUUUGAUCAGAUACAGUGGCUGGGACUGAGGAACUCAGCGCCGCAAGGCUGUCUUAGGAUGCUGGCAAAAUGGCUUUAAUCGACCCGUCUUGAAACACGGACC